AGAGUUUGAUCCUGGCUCAGGAUGAACGCUGGCGGCGUGCUUAACACAUGCAAGUCGAACGAACCUUCGGGUUAGUGGCGGACGGGUGAGUAACGCGUGGGAAUCUGCCCUCAGGAGGGGGAUAACGGCUGGAAACGGCCGCUAAUACCCCAUAUGCCGAGAGGUGAAAGGAAAUUCGCCUGAGGAUGAGCCCGCGUCUGAUUAGCUAGUUGGUGGGGUAAGAGCUUACCAAGGCGACGAUCAGUAGCUGGUCUGAGAGGAUGAUCAGCCACACUGGGACUGAGACACGGCCCAGACUCCUACGGGAGGCAGCAGUGGGGAAUUUUCCGCAAUGGGCGAAAGCCUGACGGAGCAACGCCGCGUGAGGGAUGAAGGCCUCUGGGCUGUAAACCUCUUUUCUCAAGGAAGAAGACAUGACGGUACUUGAGGAAUAAGCCACGGCUAAUUCCGUGCCAGCAGCCGCGGUAAUACGGGAGUGGCAAGCGUUAUCCGGAAUUAUUGGGCGUAAAGCGUCCGCAGGCGGCCCUGUAAGUCUGUCGUUAAAGCGUGGAGCUUAACUCCAUUUAAGCGAUGGAAACUACAGGGCUUGAGUGUGGUAGGGGCAGAGGGAAUUCCCGGUGUAGCGGUGAAAUGCGUAGAUAUCGGGAAGAACACCAGUGGCGAAGGCGCUCUGCUGGGCCAUAACUGACGCUCAUGGACGAAAGCCAGGGGAGCGAAAGGGAUUAGAUACCCCUGUAGUCCUGGCCGUAAACGAUGAACACUAGGUGUCGGGGGAAUCGACCCCCUCGGUGUCGUAGCCAACGCGUUAAGUGUUCCGCCUGGGGAGUACGCACGCAAGUGUGAAACUCAAAGGAAUUGACGGGGGCCCGCACAAGCGGUGGAGUAUGUGGUUUAAUUCGAUGCAACGCGAAGAACCUUACCAGGGUUUGACAUCCUGCGAAUCCCUUGGAAACGAGGGAGUGCCUUCGGGAGCGCAGAGACAGGUGGUGCAUGGCUGUCGUCAGCUCGUGUCGUGAGAUGUUGGGUUAAGUCCCGCAACGAGCGCAACCCACGUCUUUAGUUGCCAGCAUUCAGUUGGGCACUCUAGAGAGACCGCCGGUGAUAAACCGGAGGAAGGUGUGGAUGACGUCAAGUCAUCAUGCCCCUUACAUCCUGGGCUACACACGUACUACAAUGCUACGGACAAAGGGCAGCAAGCUCGCGAAAGUUAGCAAAUCCCAUAAACCGUGGCUCAGUUCAGAUCGUAGGCUGCAACUCGCCUACGUGAAGGAGGAAUCGCUAGUAAUCGCAGGUCAGCAUACUGCGGUGAAUACGUUCCCGGGCCUUGUACACACCGCCCGUCACACCAUGGAAGUUGGCCAUGCCCGAAGUCGUUACUCCAACCC
Molecule: ribosomal RNA, 1385 nt
Filed under: metagenome
Description: bacterial SSU rRNA
Rfam family: Bacterial small subunit ribosomal RNA
Source: RNAcentral